CAGUCGCCGCGGUAAUACGGAGGGAGCUAGCGUUAUUCGGAAUUACUGGGCGUAAAGCGCACGUAGGCGGCUUUGUAAGUUAGGGGUGAAAGCCUGGUGCUCAACACCAGAACUGCCUUUGAUACUGCAUCGCUUGAAUCCAGGAGAGGUGAGUGGAAUUCCGAGUGUAAAGGUGAAAUUCGUAGAUACUCGGAAGAACACCAGUGGCGAAGGCGGCUCACUGGACUGGUAUUGACGCUGAGGUGCGAAAGCGUGGGGAGCAAACAGGAUUAGAUACCCCUGUAGUCCCUGUCUCUUAUAC
This 301-nucleotide ribosomal RNA is filed under the name uncultured bacterium. RNAcentral's name for it is "partial 16S ribosomal RNA". It matches the Rfam family "Bacterial small subunit ribosomal RNA", at positions 509 to 807 of the family's 1533-position model. The record is from RNAcentral.